This 552-nucleotide long non-coding RNA is filed under the name Nicotiana tabacum (common tobacco). RNAcentral describes it as "long non-coding RNA (NTAB_LNC011964)". The record is from RNAcentral. Lineage: Eukaryota; Viridiplantae; Streptophyta; Magnoliopsida; Solanales; Solanaceae.
UUAUUUCAAACGAGUUAUUAACAAGAUACUGCAAACUAGUAGGACACAAAUAUCCAGACCACAUAUGUUCAAAGUGCAACGGAGAUGAUAACUAUGUACCAGAAGUCCAACUAGAAUGAAGGUAUCAACAAGAAGACAAAAGAAGAAGACAACUACUGGAAACACAUAAUGUAAAGUAAAUAGUACUAGUCACAUUCAUGAACAGUAAAGGUCGUUCAUGAAUAGUAAGAGUCAUGUAAAAAAGUCGUAAAGUAAAUAGUACUAGUCACAUUCAUGAACAGUAAAGGUCAUUCAUGAAUAGUAAGAGUCAUGUAAAAAAGUCGUAAAGUAAAUAGUACGAGUCACAUUCAUGAACAGUAAAGGUCGUUCAUGAACAGUAGGAGUCGUUAAAAUUUUCUAUAUAUUUUGUAAAUCAGAGGAAGGGAGGACAGCCUCAGACAUCCUCACUCUCUCUCUCUUAUCUUCUCUCAAUAAAAUAUCUAAUUAUAUACAAACUUCUGAAAGCUAUGGAGCAUUCAAAUGAGUUACAAAACCAAGUAAGUUUAUUCAUAA